This is a long non-coding RNA of Cotesia glomerata, 677 nucleotides long. RefSeq lists it as uncharacterized. NCBI's taxonomy places the organism in Eukaryota, Metazoa, Arthropoda, Insecta, Hymenoptera, Braconidae. The transcript has 2 exons. The record is from RefSeq and is a predicted model, not a curated record.
GAGUCUUACUCCAUCUACUAUGUUACUAUGUUGCUACAUAGUACAUAUAUUCUCUUCCUCUACUUCUCAACUGUACUAAGAUCGACAUACCAGUUUCCAUCAGGUUCAUACAGCCUUUCGCUUCUACUAACUCAAACACUUUGUUUGUAAAUUUUAAAUAAUGACAAAUAUUUAACUUGAAUUUCCCGGAUAAUUAUUUUACUUAUAAAUAAAUUAUUAUAUUAUGUUAUGUUAUAUUAUGCACGUGUUUGAAUUAAAAUUUUCGAUUAAUUUCUGUAUGUUCCCGCUGCGCGUAAUAUUGUUGUUCGUAGCACUGUGAACUGUGAAUUAAACUCCGGAUGCUCUCGAUGAAUUCCCGGCAAUGUAUAUACGCGUUGAUGUUAAUCACUCGUGGAUUAUAUCAGAGCAAAGAGGAACACGGACCCUCUAUAUUGACACAGAGAAGAGAAACUCCAUUCCCAAGCUAACUCAAUGACAAACAGUUGUCUUGGUAUCCACAGAUACCAUCAGAUAAAUUUUUAACGUACAAUCAAUGUUUAAUUUUCAUUUCAACUAAAUUCACUAUGUCAUUUCAGUGUUUAUUUGUUUGGAAAAGUUGUAUAGCACAUCUCAUGAUAUCUUUUCUUUUGUAAUAAACUAUUCAAAAUAAAUAAUAAAAAAAAAAAAGAUUUGUAAAU